Pangasianodon gigas (Mekong giant catfish) is the source of this 72-nucleotide non-coding RNA. Lineage: Eukaryota; Metazoa; Chordata; Actinopteri; Siluriformes; Pangasiidae. The record is from the annotation of a GenBank genome assembly.
GGCUUUGUGGCUUUGUGGGAAAUCUCUUCCCUACUAUCAGUGAGGUUGUAGGUUCAAAUCCUGCCUAGGCUU